GAAAUGCGAUAAGUAAUGUGAAUUGCAGAAUUCAGUGAAUCAUCGAAUCUUUGAACGCACAUUGCGCCCGCCAGUAUUCCGGCGGGCAUGCCUGUCCGAGCGUCAUUUCAACCAUCAAGCCCCCGGGCUUGUGUUGGGGACCUGCGGCUGCCCGCAGGCCCUGAAAACCAGUGGCGGGCUCGCUGUCACACCGAGCGUAGUAGCAAUCACCUCGCUCAGGGCGUGCUGCGGGUUCCGGCCGUUAAACAGCCUUACAAAACCCAAGGUUGACCUCGGAUCAGGUAGGAAGACCCGCUGAACUUAAGC
RNAcentral lists this unclassified non-coding RNA (306 nucleotides) under plant metagenome. Its description in RNAcentral is "partial contains 5.8S ribosomal RNA, internal transcribed spacer 2, and large subunit ribosomal RNA". The stretch from base 1 to 105 matches the Rfam family "5.8S ribosomal RNA", at positions 50 to 154 of the family's 154-position model. The record is from RNAcentral.